Molecule: ribosomal RNA, 253 nt
Filed under: uncultured bacterium
Lineage: Bacteria
Description: partial 16S ribosomal RNA
Rfam family: Bacterial small subunit ribosomal RNA
Source: RNAcentral
UACGUAGGGUGCAGGCGUUAAUCGGAAUUACUGGGCGUAAAGCGUGCGCAGGCGGUUUCUUAAGUCAGAUGUGAAAGCCCCGGGCUUAACCUGGGAACUGCGUUUGAAACUGGGAGACUUGAGUGUGGCAGAGGGGGGUGGAAUUCCGCGUGUAGCAGUGAAAUGCGUAGAGAUGCGGAGGAACACCGAUGGCGAAGGCAGCCCCCUGGGCUAACACUGACGCUCAGGCACGAAAGCGUGGGGAGCAAACAGG